AUGACCAGAUUUCCGAUGUCCCCACCUUCCACAUACCCUGGCACUGGCGUUGUCCAGCUGUGGUCAGUUCAUCUAAAGGGAGGGUUUUCAAUGCUCACGUUUCCUCCUGUUGCGGGCUCCAGCUUUACCUGCCUCUUAUUGUUCUCAUUCGCCUGGGGAAUGCCGAGUGUAACAAUGGCCCCAGGAAUUCAAGCCAAGGAGCCCAAGAGGGGCCAGAUGGUGCCUUCGUUCCUGGUGCCAGAACUGCGGCGUUUCUCUGAAUAAUCUAAAACUUUCCUGGAAAUGGAGAGUCCUGACAUGAUGGCCCCAUGAUGAAAAUAACCCAGAUUCCUGAGUCACCAUGUGGACACGAGGCACCAAGGAGAAAACGUGUGAACCUCAGUAAGUUUGGGGUGAGAGGUAAAUAAACUUUAAAUAUGUUAAGCUUCUGUCAUUUCAAGGUAAUAUAGUGUGGAAGGCAGAAAAAUGGCCCACUCUCUCCUGGCAUCUAUUAAAGAUGUCCAAAUCCUCAUUUCUGGAACAGGUGAAUAUGUUAAGUUACAUGGCAGUAGCAGUCACAUAGCAGAUCGAAUUAAGGUUUGUAUUAGUCUGUUCUUACACGGCUAUAAAGAAAUACCUGAGCCUGAGUAAUUUAUAAAGAAAAGAGAAUUAGUUGGCUCAUGGUUUUGCAGGCUGUACAGGAAGCAUAGUGGCUUCUGUUUCUAGGGAGGCCUCAGGAAGCUUCCAAUUAUGGUGAAAGGCAAAGGAGUGAAGUACUUCACAUGACUGGAGCAGGAGGAAAAGAGAGAGAGAGAAAAGUGGGGGAGGUGCUACACACUUUUAAACAACCAGAUCUUGUAAGAACUCACUCACCAUCAAGAGAACAGCAUCAAGGGGAUGGAGCUAAACCAUUUAUGAAGGAUCCAUCCCCAUGAUCCAGUCACCUCCCAUCAGGCCCCACCUCUAGCUAUAGGGAUUAUAGUUGAUUACAGUUGAAUGUGUGAUUUGUGCAGAGACACAGGUCCAAACCAUAUCAAGGUUGCAAAUCAGAAGUCUCCAAAAAUUAAAAGUCUCCUGGAUUACCCUGCUGGUCCUCAUCACUGGAGUCCUUAAAAGCAGAGAACCUUUCCCAUUUGUGGUCAGAGAGAGAUGUGAUAAAGAAAGCAGCAUCAGACACAUGUGACGUUGUUGGCUUUGAUGAGGGUAGGAAGGGGCCAUGAGCCAGGGAAUGUGGGCAGCCUUGAGAAACUGACCUCAUUUAACUAAAUUACUUCUUUAAAGGGCCUACCUUCAAACAUGGCCACAUUCUGAGAGGGGGUUAGGACUUCAACAUAUGAAUUUUGGUGUGACACAAAUCAGUCCAUCCGUAGACUUUUAGAUUGUGGCAAUUAUGAAAAUGCAAAUCAUGUUUUUGUGCCAUGAGUUUGAGGUAUAUUCCAGAAUUACUUCUGUCAUCAACUCACCUCAAAAGCACAGCAUAGGCAGAGCAGAACGUUGAGCUCCUGGAGAACUCUCAGGAGGCAGGCAUUUGGGGCCAGUGCAAUAGAAAAGCAAGGCUGGGGAAAGACCAAUUUGAAAUACUUCCUUGCAAUCUGCUUUGGUAUAAUCCAUUAACCCAGGUGAGUAGUGGAGCCCAGGCUUGCUUUCUACUCAGCUUUUCCUCCUCUACGCAUUCCUUAUAGCCUCUUCCUAUAUUGGUCAACAGAAAUGUCCAUCAUAGCCCCAAUACAUUACUAGAACAUGUUAUUUUGGAAAAUACAAACUAUGGAAAACCCCAUAGGCGUUUGUAAUUUUGUAAAGUUAUAGGUUCAGGGAAAAACCAGCCAAAAACCCUGAUCAUUUUAUUAUGAUAAUAAAUCAAAUUUUGUAUAAAAGUAUCUAUGGCAUGUGGCCAGGCCUCCAUUUUUGCUCUGUGUCUCUGGAGACCAUGCCAUCAUGUAGAUUCUUGCAGGAGGCAGGGUCAGUCUUAAAUGCUUUGGGGGUUAUACGCUUGUUUGAGAGAAAUUACAAACCAGACUAAGAAUAUAAAAUAUAUGUAAAACCACAACAUCUACAAACUUUUAUAAUCAUACAAGUAAUAAACUUACAUUUGAGGUCAUAAAAUAGGUAUAAACGUACUAAGUACAUGGAUUAUAAAAUAGGCACUAAUGUAUUAUAGAAUAAAAUAUUCCUGAAUUAUAGGCACUAAUGUAUGAUAGCAUAAAACAUACCUGGAUUAUGUUAAAAAUGCAACUUUACUAUAUCAUAAAUUUGAUUCAUAUCUAGCAUGUAGACAAACACAUGAUCAACAUUAAAUUUGUUUGACUUUUAAUUCCAAGGUGCGGUUGAGGUGUGCUUUCAAUAGCCUGUUUCUUGAAAUCUUUUAUAACACUGUUCAAGGAAGGUAGGACUGUCAUUUUUUUUUUUUUUUUUUUUUUUUUGUAGAGGUAUCUUUUGUAGUCAAUCAAGGAGAUCUCACAGUUGGAUUCAUUCUUUUCAUUUCAGUGUCUUUACACAUUUAAAGACAGACCCUGUCUAAAUUACAUGGAGUUUAGAUUUGCUGUCUGCUGAGUUUAUUCCUCCUUUGUCUUUGUUGCCUCCAUCUCCAACUUCCCACACCAACUGUCAUCCAAAUAUCAUUGUUUGACUGCCCCAAACCACACCUACUUUCUAGUUUCAGAGCCUCCUCCAUUGGUGUGAGUCUUGUAGGGUUGGGGAGAGCGGGGGCAAAGCAGGGGAGGGAGGCAGGGUUGUCCUUACAGUACAGAGCCUGAAACUGAGAGAGUCUCCCCGUCCCUGGCCCUUGACAGCCAGAAUGAGGGACAGGACCUUCCAGCCUGGACUUUACAUGCCCAGGGAGUGAUACAAAGAUGCAGGAACAGCUGAGAGAAGAUGCCCUCUGGUGUUCAGAGUCCAUGUCGGUCUUGGCCUUGAGUUUCCAAUGGAAGCAGAGCCAGCGGCUCUGUCCUGAAGCCGUUCUUCCUGCUGUCCAGCCUUGUUCCUGACCAUUUUCCAAGCUUACUUCUUUAGUCAUCCUGUGGAUUCUGCAUGCUGUUUGGCAGCCUUCCAGCAAGUUCCCUUUUGCUGAAGUUUCUGAGGCUUGCAGCUAUCCGAUGUGCAGGGAGUAUCAGAGAAUGAAGAAGGUGUGGACAUGGCAUACGUUUGCCAGGGGAGUGGAGCAGAAUGAUGCUGUGAUGCUGAACUGUCAUUCUCAGGUUUUUGCAUAUUACACAUUGCUGACGUUUUUACCAAAAUGGUAACUUUGGACAUUUUUAAGGGAGCAUCCUCAUGUUGCGUUCCAUCAGACCUGCGGUCCAGAGGUUCUCGGUGAUGAGCUCUUUCAUUUUUCC
Molecule: long non-coding RNA, 3308 nt
Organism: Macaca fascicularis (crab-eating macaque)
Lineage: Eukaryota; Metazoa; Chordata; Mammalia; Primates; Cercopithecidae
Source: Ensembl